UACAGAGGUCUCAAGCGUUGUUCGGAUUCAUUGGGCGUAAAGGGUGCGUAGGUGGCGCCGUAAGUCAGGUGUGAAAUCUCGGGGCUUAACUCCGAAACUGCAUUUGAUACUGCGGUGCUUGAGGACUGGAGAGGAGACUGGAAUUCAUGGUGUAGCAGUGAAAUGCGUAGAGAUCAUGAGGAAGACCAGUGGCGAAGGCGGGUCUCUGGACAGUUACUGACACUGAGGCACGAAGGCCAGGGGAGCAAACGGG
This 253-nucleotide ribosomal RNA is filed under the name uncultured bacterium. Its description in RNAcentral is "partial 16S ribosomal RNA". It matches the Rfam family "Bacterial small subunit ribosomal RNA", at positions 524 to 776 of the family's 1533-position model. The record is from RNAcentral.